RNAcentral lists this ribosomal RNA (492 nucleotides) under uncultured bacterium. RNAcentral's name for it is "partial 16S ribosomal RNA". It matches the Rfam family "Bacterial small subunit ribosomal RNA", at positions 29 to 507 of the family's 1533-position model. The record is from RNAcentral.
AUUGAACGCUGGCGGCAUGCUUUACACAUGCAAGUCGAACGGUAACAGGCCUUCGGGUGCUGACGAGUGGCGAACGGGUGAGUAAUGCAUCGGAACGUACCCAGAGGUGGGGGAUAACGCAGCGAAAGCUGUGCUAAUACCGCAUGUGAUCUGAGGAUGAAAGCGGGGGACCGAGCAGCAAUGUUUGGCCUCGCGCCUUUGGAGCGGCCGAUGUCGGAUUAGCUAGUUGGUGGGGUAAAGGCCUACCAAGGCGACGAUCCGUAGCUGGUCUGAGAGGACGACAGGCGACACUGGGACUGAGACACGGCCCAGACGCCUACGGGAGGCAGCAGUGGGGAAUGGUGGACAGUGGGCGCAAGCCUGGUCCAGCGAUGCCGCGUGCGGGAAGAAGGCCUUCGGGUUGUAAACCGCGUUUGGCAGGAACGAAACGGUGUCCGCUAAUACCGGGCGCUAAUGACGGUACCUGCAGAAUAAGCACCGGCUAACUACGUG